GGAGGGGUGGCAGAGCCUGGCUGAAUGCACUGGUCUUGAAAACCAGCAUACGUUUACGCGUAUCGUGGGUUCGAAUCCCACCCCCUCCG
This 89-nucleotide transfer RNA is filed under the name Bacteroidota bacterium. RNAcentral describes it as "Bacteroidetes bacterium (marine metagenome) tRNA-Ser". It matches the Rfam family "tRNA". Rfam says of the family: Transfer RNA (tRNA) molecules are approximately 80 nucleotides in length. Their secondary structure includes four short double-helical elements and three loops (D, anti-codon, and T loops). Further hydrogen bonds mediate the characteristic L-shaped molecular structure. tRNAs have two regions of fundamental functional importance: the anti-codon, which is responsible for specific mRNA codon recognition, and the 3' end, to which the tRNAs corresponding amino acid is attached (by aminoacyl-tRNA synthetases). tRNAs cope with the degeneracy of the genetic code in two manners: having more than one tRNA (with a specific anti-codon) for a particular amino acid; and 'wobble' base-pairing, i.e. permitting non-standard base-pairing at the 3rd anti-codon position. Lineage: Bacteria; Pseudomonadati; Bacteroidota. RNAcentral also lists the same sequence under 2 other names. The record is from RNAcentral.